CAGCCGCCACGGUAAUACGAAGGGGGCUAGCGUUGUUCGGAUUUACUGGGCGUAAAGCGUGCGCAGGCGGUUUGUUAAGACAGAUGUGAAAUCCCUGGGCUCAACCUGGGAACUGCAUUUGUGACUGGCAAGCUAGAGUAUGGCAGAGGGGGGUGGAAUUCCGCGUGUAGCAGUGAAAUGCGUAGAUAUGCGGAGGAACACCGAUGGCGAAGGCAGCCCCCUGGGCCAACACUGACGCUCAUGCACGAAAGCGUGGGGAGCAAACAGGAUUAGAUACCCCAGUAGUCCCUGUCUCUUAUAU
Molecule: ribosomal RNA, 301 nt
Filed under: uncultured bacterium
Lineage: Bacteria
Description: partial 16S ribosomal RNA
Rfam family: Bacterial small subunit ribosomal RNA
Source: RNAcentral